AAUGAUUUACGGAUUAUUUACAGUUUUGCUAAAUUAAUUGAUAAAAAAUUAGAACGAUGACCAUGUACCAUGAAAAGAAGUUUAUAAUAAAUUAAUACAAAUGUAUAAUGUGGCUAUAAAUUUUAAAACGAAUUAAAAGAUUAUAGGCUUCAUAUAUAGAUCAUUUACCGAAAACUCACUAUUUUCGUAGGGGGUACACAUAGAUUUUGAGAAAAAUUCAAAAAAUUUAACAAUACUGUUUUAAUGCAUAGUUGAAUCAUUUAAUAACAUAUGAGGAAUUUCAAAGAGGUUUGGAACCUUUGUUGUCUCCGUUUCUCUCGGGAAUAGCAAAUUUAUAAUGGUUAAUCCAAUAAUUUAGAGAGUAUUUGCAGUUUUGCUAAAUUAAUGGAUAAAAAAUUAAAACGAUGUCCAUGUACCAUGAAAAAGAUUUUAUCAUAAAUUAAUUCAACUGUGUAAUGUGGUUAUAAAUUUUAAAAAGAAUUAAAAGAUUAUAGGCUUCAUAUAUAUAGCAUUUAUCGAAAACACACUAUUUUCGUAGGGGUACACAUAGAUUUUGAGAAAAAUUCAAAAAAUUUGAGAAUUCUGUUUUAAUACAUAUUUGAAUCAUGUAAUAAAAUAUGAUGAAGUUCAAAGAGGUUUGGAACCUUUGUUGUCUCCGUUUCUCU
Molecule: long non-coding RNA, 665 nt
Filed under: Brassica napus (rape)
Lineage: Eukaryota; Viridiplantae; Streptophyta; Magnoliopsida; Brassicales; Brassicaceae
Description: long non-coding RNA (BNAP_LNC004526)
Source: RNAcentral